This 148-nucleotide ribosomal RNA is filed under the name Streptococcus pneumoniae. Its description in RNAcentral is "partial 16S ribosomal RNA". It matches the Rfam family "Bacterial small subunit ribosomal RNA", at positions 1386 to 1533 of the family's 1533-position model. Lineage: Bacteria; Bacillati; Bacillota; Bacilli; Lactobacillales; Streptococcaceae. The record is from RNAcentral.
CCCACCGCCCGUCACACCAUGGGAGUGGGUUGCACCAGAAGUAGCUAGUCUAACCUUCGGGAGGACGGUUACCACGGUGUGAUUCAUGACUGGGGUGAAGUCGUAACAAGGUAGCCGUAGGGGAACCUGCGGCUGGAUCACCUCCUUA